This 170-nucleotide ribosomal RNA is filed under the name Paracheirodon simulans (green neon tetra). RNAcentral describes it as "partial 12S rRNA". Lineage: Eukaryota; Metazoa; Chordata; Actinopteri; Characiformes; Acestrorhamphidae. The record is from RNAcentral.
CACCGCGGUUAUACGAGAGACUCUAGUUGAUAAACACGGCGUAAAGGGUGGUUAAAGAUAAUACAAAAAUAAAGUCAAACACUCUCUAAGCCGUUAAAAGCACCCUGAGAAUAUGAAGCCCCACCACGAAAGUGACUUUAAUAUAUCCUGACCCCACGAAAGCUAAGAAA